AAAAGUAAGCAAGGGCGCAUGGCGGAUGCCUUGGCUCUCGGAGGCGAUGAAGGACGUGAUAAGCUGCGAUAAGCCGCGGGUAGGUGCAAAUGACCUUUGAUCCGCGGAUUUCCGAAUGGGACAACCCAAUAUCUUGAAGAGGUAUUAUCCUACUAAGUAGGAGGCAAACGCAGGGAACUGAAACAUCUUAGUACCUGUAGGAAGAGAAAAUAAAUAAUGAUUCCCCUAGUAGUGGCGAGCGAACGGGGACCAGCCCAAACCAUAUGUGUUACGGCAUGUAUGGGGUUGUAGGACCACGUCGUGGGACGACAGUUAGUGAGUAGAAUGAUCUGGAAAGUUCAGUCAUAGACGGUGAUAACCCGGUAUACGAAGCUAACUUAACCCUAGUGGUAUCCUGAGUAGCGCGGGACACGAGGAAUCUUGCGUGAAUCUGCCGGGACCAUCCGGUAAGGCUAAAUACUCCCGAGAGACCGAUAGCGAACCAGUACUGUGAAGGAAAGGUGAAAAGCACUUCGAACAGAAGAGUGAAAUAGUCCCUGAAACCAUGCGCCUACAAGCGGUCGGAGCAGCUUUAUGCUGUGACGGCGUGCCUUUUGCAUAAUGAACCUACGAGUUACUUUUUCCGGCAAGGUUAAGGAUCUUGAGAUCCGCAGCCGAAGCGAAAGCGAGUCUGAACAGGGCGGAUAGUCGGAAGGAGUAGACGCGAAACCAAGUGAUCUACCCUUGGCCAGGUUGAAGGACAGGUAACACUGUCUGGAGGACCGAACCGAUAAGCGUUGAAAAGCUUCCGGAUGAGCUGAGGGUGGGGGUGAAAGGCUAAUCAAACUUGGAGAUAGCUCGUACUCCCCGAAAUGCAUUUAGGUGCAGCCUUGAUUUAUACUAAUAUGAGGUAGAGCGACUGAUAAGAUGCGAGGGCUUCGCCGCCUAUCAAGUCUUGACAAACUCCGAAUGCGUAUUAGUUCUAUAUCAGGAGUGAGGGCAUGGGUGCUAAGGUCCAUGUCCUAAAGGAGAACAAUCCGGACCAUCAGCUAAGGUCCCGAAAUAACCACUAAGUUGAUCUAACGAAGUCAGAUUGCUAAGACAGCUAGGAUGUUGGCUUGGAAGCAGCCAUUCAUUUAAAGAGUGCGUAACAGCUCACUAGUCGAGGAGUUUGGCGUGGAUAAUAAUCGGGCAUAAGUGGUUUACCGAAGCUAUGGGAUGUUUAAUACAUCGGUAGGGGAGCAUUCCACUCUGCGUCGAAGGUGAAGCGUGAGCUUUGCUGGAGCGUGUGGAAAAGCAAAUGUAGGUAUAAGUAACGAUAAAGGGGGUGAGAAACCCCCUCGCCGAAAGACUAAGGUUUCCUGAUCAACGCUAAUCGGAUCAGGGUUAGUCGGGUCCUAAGGCUCAGCCGAACGGUGAGGCCGAUGGCAGAACAGGUUAAUAUUCCUGUACUACCUUAAAGAGUGACGUGGAGACGGAGGCGUGACAGUGCCGCGGACUGACGGAAUAGUCCGUUGAAGGGUGUAGAUGUUGAUCGGGGUAGGCAAAUCCGCUCCGAGAGUCGAACCUGAUAGUAUGGAGCGUUCUUCGGAACAAUCCAAUAGUGCAUGUAAACAUACUCCCAAGAAAAUCCGCUAAACUUAAUCUUUAAGGUACCCGUACCGCAAACGGACACACGUAGUCGGGUUGAAUAUACUAAGGCGCUUGAGUGAUUCACGGUUAAGGAACUAGGCAAAUUGACCCUGUAACUUCGGGAUAAAGGGUCCCCACUGUAAGGUGGGGCGCAGAGAAUCGGUCCAGGCAACUGUUUAACAAAAACACAGGGCUGUGCAAAAUUGAAAGAUGAAGUAUACAGCCUGACACCUGCCCGGUGCUGGAAGGUUAAGAGGAGAUGUCAUCGCAAGAGAAGCAUUGAAUUGAAGCCCCAGUAAACGGCGGCCGUAACUAUAACGGUCCUAAGGUAGCGAAAUUCCUUGUCGGGUAAGUUCCGACCUGCACGAAUGGUGUAAUGAUCUGGACACUGUCUCAACCGUGAGCUCAGUGAAAUUGUAG
This 2031-nucleotide ribosomal RNA is filed under the name gut metagenome. Its description in RNAcentral is "bacterial LSU rRNA". It matches the Rfam family "Bacterial large subunit ribosomal RNA", at positions 1 to 2047 of the family's 2925-position model. The record is from RNAcentral.